This 301-nucleotide ribosomal RNA is filed under the name uncultured bacterium. RNAcentral's name for it is "partial 16S ribosomal RNA". It matches the Rfam family "Bacterial small subunit ribosomal RNA", at positions 509 to 807 of the family's 1533-position model. The record is from RNAcentral.
CAGCCGCCGCGGUAAUACGUAGGGUGCAAGCGUUAAUCGGAAUUACUGGGCGUAAAGCGUGCGCAGGCGGUUUGUUAAGACAGAUGUGAAAUCCCCGGGCUCAACCUGGGAACUGCAUUUGUGACUGGCAGGCUAGAGUAUGGCAGAGGGGGGUGGAAUUCCGCGUGUAGCAGUGAAAUGCGUAGAUAUGCGGAGGAACACCGAUGGCGAAGGCAGCCCCCUGGGCCAAUACUGACGCUCAUGCACGAAAGCGUGGGGAGCAAACAGGAUUAGAGACCCCUGUAGUCCCUGUCUCUUAUAC